AACGAACGCUGGCGGCAGGCUUAACACAUGCAAGUCGAACGCCCCGCAAGGGGAGUGGCAGACGGGUGAGUAACGCGUGGGAAUCUACCCAUCUCUGCGGAAUAGCUCUGGGAAACUGGAAUUAAUACCGCAUACGCCCUACGGGGGAAAGAUUUAUCGGGGAUGGAUGAGCCCGCGUUGGAUUAGCUAGUUGGUGGGGUAAAGGCCUACCAAGGCGACGAUCCAUAGCUGGUCUGAGAGGAUGAUCAGCCACAUUGGGACUGAGACACGGCCCAAACCCCCACGGGAGGCAGCAGGGGGGAAUAUUGGAAAAUGGGCGCAAGCUUGAACCAGCCAUGCCGCGUGAGUGAUGAAGGCCUUAGGGUUGUAAAGCUCUUUCACCGAUGAAGAUAAUGACGGUAGUCGGAGAAGAAGCCCCGGCUAACUUCGUGCCAGCCGCCGCCGUAA
Molecule: ribosomal RNA, 447 nt
Filed under: uncultured bacterium
Lineage: Bacteria
Description: partial 16S ribosomal RNA
Rfam family: Bacterial small subunit ribosomal RNA
Source: RNAcentral